Molecule: ribosomal RNA, 253 nt
Filed under: uncultured bacterium
Lineage: Bacteria
Description: partial 16S ribosomal RNA
Rfam family: Bacterial small subunit ribosomal RNA
Source: RNAcentral
UACGUAGGGUGCGAGCGUUGUCCGGAAUUCCUGGGCGUAAAGAGCUCGUAGGUGGUUUGUCGCGUUGUUCGUGAAAACUCACAGCUCAACUGUGGGCGUGCGGGCGAUACGGGCAGACUGGAGUACUGCAGGGGAGACUGGAAUUCCUGGUGUAGCGGUGGAAUGCGCAGAUAUCAGGAGGAACACCGGUGGCGAAGGCGGGUCUCUGGGCAGUAACUGACGCUGAGGAGCGAAAGCGUGGGGAGCGAACAGG